Molecule: long non-coding RNA, 1016 nt
Organism: Penaeus indicus
Lineage: Eukaryota; Metazoa; Arthropoda; Malacostraca; Decapoda; Penaeidae
Exons: 6
Source: RefSeq, a predicted model, not a curated record
GGCUGAGCGACCAGACCCUCGGCCGCGAUGGCAGGAGACGCUCGCUCGUUCCACGUGCUCAGGUGCGGAAGAUUUUCCUUUCCAGGCUUUCUCGCAGCCACCUGAGUACAAUGUUGGGAAUACAUGUCUGUGGCACACCUAGGAACCAGCCCAUUGGUUACAGAACCAUGACUUCGAUGCUGAAUACAACUGGUAUAGAAUGAACAGUGUGUAGGUGGCUUGUACACACACUGCAGUGAGCUGUGUAUGGUUUGAACAGCUUUAACCCCUUCCCGAUGGAUGACCCUGAUAGGCGUGAAAACAAACCGCUCGAAAGCUGGCGUGCGGCUGUAUGCCGCGGCUGCGUGCCACAGCGCGGCGAGCCAGUGAUUUGGGCUGAUGUACCGAACUCACGCGCUCAAAGUCAGUGCGCCGCCUUUGUUUGCCAGAGCGUAGAGUAGGUUAAAUGGCUGGUAAUGAAGACCCACAUGAUGUAUGAGCAGCAUGUAGGUGGCUUGCACACACACGGCAGUGAGCUGUGUAUGGUUUGAACAGCUUUAAGUGGCCUGAAAACCUCUGGCAGUGACAGUGUAGGAUGAUGAGCAACUAUAUAUAUUACUAUAUGAAUGAUUUUCAUUUAUAUUUGUAUGUGAAAAUGAGAAAUGAGAAGUGUCAGUUCACUAAAAUUGUGAUAUAGUGCUUUAAUGCAAACCUAUUAACGCUUGUGAUUGAUGAAUGAUUAAGAAAACUUUUGAUAAAUGCAUUGUCAUGCAAUUGUGGACUGAGAACACCUUCAGAUGGUCCUGUAUUUUAUGAAAUAUCAACUUUUUACUAUUUUUUGUCAAAUGUAUCAAAUUGAAGUACUUUAGGAACAAAAUAGGGAACCUGAAAAUUUUGAAUUUUGUGUAAAAAUUGGCACUUCCAAAUUUCAUUUUCACUGAAUGUUUUUAUACUUUGGUUUUCAUACUUGUUCUAGAUCUAAAUUAUCUAAAUUCCUCUCUUGUAUAGGGUAUUUAAAAAUAAAUAUACACUGUCAA